AUUAGGGAGGAGGGUCCUGGGGAAGUCAAAGCUUCCACACCUGUUCUCAAAGCCCCUCUGAGGUAUCCCCUCCCAGAUUCCAGAUCAGGUUUGGGGCUCCCAGGAGCCCUCGCUUUCUCCCCAAUAACCUCCUCCCCUGGCUCCGGGUCCUGCCCUUUGGGCUACAUGGCACAGCCUGUUUCCCUGGCCCUGUGAAGGUCCCUCCAGAGGCUGCUCUGCUCCAAGGCACACACAGACCCCAGGCCUGGCCUCCCUGAGUUGUUCCUCCCUACCAUGGCCUCUAUCCCCUGUGCGGUCUCAUCCGGAGUAAGCCUGAAGCUCGUCUUGUGAAGCCACCAUCACAUUGGCUCUUUCAGCAAUAAGCCUAAGAAAUGUAGUCUCCUCAGGCCCACGAGGUCCUCUAGAACCCCCAGAUCUUUGUGCCAACUCGUCUUUCUCCAGCUGAAGUGCUACAGCCUCUUGGUCUAUCCAUGUAGAGCUGUGAUGGCAUCAAGAAGGAAGUGAGACGCCCCUGGGACACUCCCAGGAGGGAGCAGAGGCUCUGGGGCUCCUGGCAGGUAAGCGGAGGCAGCUGGCAGGGCCUGGCUGGGGCUCCCCUUGGGAAUGCUUCAGGCGGUGUCACACCUCACCUGCCCUGGCCUGGGGGAGGGCAGGCUCUGAGCCUCUGGAUCCUUCCUCAUUCUACCAGGAUUAGGAUCUCUCAGCCAUCAGUCCCUCCCAGGGCCCAUACCAGCUUCCCAACAUACACACAGGCACCAAGUACAAAGGGCCCAAUGUGAUGUUCACCACAGGGCAGAGCCUCCCGUCGCGGCAGGCGAGCAUGUGCGCUCACACACACCCCUCACACACAGGCACGACGUGCAGGUGUGGGCAUGAAGUGACAGAGGCACGGGUUCCUAGUCCCUUCUCCUGGAACCACAGGGACCGUUGAGGAGGAGAUGGGGACAUAUGUCGUCCAGUAGCCUGGACAUCCAUGUGGACCCGUGAGGCUGGGAGGGAAGUGCAGAGGACCUCAGAAGCCCUGCUCUGUGACUUGACAGGGCGGGAGCCUGUGGCAGUUGCCUGAGAACCCUUGUGAAGACAGGGAGCGUGUGCAUGCUCCGUUCCUGACCAAGGCGCAGCUGGAUAGGGGCCCACCCCUCCCCACCUCCCCGGCUUUCCAACACUCCCCUGGAGUCUGUCCUUCUACUGGCCCCGUCCUCUCCAAAGGACCCCUGCUCUCUCCAGGGCUCUGGCCUUCCUCCCAUCCCCUGGUGUCCCUCCCAUUCCCAGCCCUCCUCACUGCCCCCAGCCCAGAGUCUGAAUGGUUGGGCUGCUUCCCUUCCUUUUGCUUCUCUCCUCCUUGGGCGUUAGGGGAGAACAAGCCACAAGAGGCCUUGGUCUCAGAAUCCACAGAUGUAAGGUCAGAAGAGCCCUCAGAGUUCUCCCAGUUAAAUGUUCUCAUACUACAGAUGGGGAAAUUGAGGCUCAGACAGUUACAGGGGCUUGAGUCAGCCACCGUCAAGCUGGCCCCAGGGCUCCUUCUCCUCUCCUGUGCUCGCUCUCAGCCCAGCUGGCUCCUCAGACUUCUCCUGGACAGGGUUGUAAACUCCAGCACUGGUCGACAAUCUCUUCACUGGAGGCAUCUGGCACCUAGAGGACCCUGUGGAAGCCAUGAGGGGUGAAGCUGCCAGCCGCCGCAGGUCCCCCUCCCCACUGCCCGUGCCCAGGCUGGCCUCUGCACAGGCAGGUUACCUUAAGACCUGGACACCCCUCCCUCUUCUGGGGUGCUGAACUGAUUCCUGGCUCUGGAGAACUCUUAUAGAAGCCACACAGCUUCUGCCAAAGUGUCCCAUGUCCACCAAGACAUGGAACACCAGGGUCAGCCUGGCUGAGAAGGCCCCAGAGCAUCUAGAGACCCUUGGGUCUAGAGACCUCCCACGAGAAAGGCUGGCAUCCUGGGGGAAGCCUGAGCCAGGGCAGCCCCAUGGGAGGGGCCUGGGACCAGACUCCAGGUCUGCAGUCCUGUGGCUAUGGGGUCCAGAGCAUAUCCCCCUGGUCUCUCUGGGCCUAACUUCCUUCAUCUGCCCAUAAGAAAAACGGAAGCAAUCCCUUGCUUCUCACAGGAGAGUGGAAGAGCUCUGGGGGUCAAACAAACAAAACAGUGGAGCCAGCCUUCCUUCCUCAUAGGGCAUCCAUGCUGUGUCUGCUCUCACCGGGCUGGUCCAGGAGACUUGAAAACACUCCUGGAAAGGUGGAGGGGCUUUCAGGAGGGGCUCUGUAGUCUCCUGCUCCCCAGAUGGAGGGAUAAGCUCCCCACAGGGUCCAGGCCCUCCCUCCUGCUCUGCCUUCCCCAUUCCCACCUAGCCCCCCACCCAAUCUGCCAGCCUGCCCCCCUGCAGACACCUCUUCCCUCCCUCCUUCCCCAGCCUGGCUCUGGGACCUGAGCCUCGGGCCAUGCACUUUCCAUUAAGGAGAUAGCAUCCCUUUGCUGAAGUCCAUUUGGGAUCCAUUUUAGUGUUAUCUAAAAAUCAAAUCUACAUGGUAAUCCUUUUAAUGUACUCCUGACUUUAGAAAAAAAUGGCUUUGCGCUCCUUCAGGAAAGGUUUUAAAGCAUUACCCAGUAAUUACUACUCACCCAUGAAAACA
Molecule: long non-coding RNA, 2628 nt
Filed under: Homo sapiens (human)
Lineage: Eukaryota; Metazoa; Chordata; Mammalia; Primates; Hominidae
Description: HSALNT0361239
Source: RNAcentral